UACGUAGGGUGCAAGCGUUAAUCGGAAUUACUGGGCGUAAAGGGUGCGUAGGCGGUUUGGUAAGUCUGAUGUGAAAUCUAUGGGCUCAACUCAUAGUCUGCAUCGGAAACUGCCGGGCUUGAGUGUGGGAGAGGUGAGUGGAAUUCCUGGUGUAGCGGUGAAAUGCGUAGAGAUCCGGAGGAACACCAGUGGCGAAGGCGACACGCUGGGCCGUACCUGACACUGAUGCGCGACAGCAUGGGGAGCAAACAGG
RNAcentral lists this ribosomal RNA (253 nucleotides) under uncultured bacterium. RNAcentral's name for it is "partial 16S ribosomal RNA". It matches the Rfam family "Bacterial small subunit ribosomal RNA", at positions 524 to 776 of the family's 1533-position model. The record is from RNAcentral.